GAUGAGAACGCAGCGAAAUGCGAUAAGUAGUGUGAAUUGCAGAAUUCAGUGAAUCAUCGAAUCUUUGAACGCACAUUGCGCCCUUUGGUAUUCCAAAGGGCAUGCCUGUUCGAGCGUCAUUUGUACCCUCAAGCUUUGCUUGGUGUUGGGCGUCUUGUCUCUAGCUUUGCUGGAGACUCGCCUUAAAGUAAUUGGCAGCCGGCCUACUGGUUUCGGAGCGCAGCACAAGUCGCACUCUCUAUCAGCAAAGGUCUAGCAUCCAUUAAGCCUUUUUUUCAACUUUUGACCUCGGAUCAGGUAGGGAUACCCGCUGAACUUAAGCAUAUCAAUAAGCGGAGGA
RNAcentral lists this unclassified non-coding RNA (340 nucleotides) under soil metagenome. RNAcentral's name for it is "partial contains 5.8S ribosomal RNA, internal transcribed spacer 2, and large subunit ribosomal RNA". The stretch from base 5 to 119 matches the Rfam family "5.8S ribosomal RNA", at positions 40 to 154 of the family's 154-position model. The record is from RNAcentral.